CCCUUCCCGAUGUUUAUAAAGCUCUGCGCACAAUACAAAACAGCUAUUCUCAAGACUUAGUAAAAGGUGUCACAGGCUCACAACAAGCUUUCAACCUAGCAACUUGACCUCAACUGAUCUCCAGGAUAAAUGUGGCUGACAAAUUCAUGUGAAGAAUUUAAAGGAGAAGCAAAUUCUGCAGUGCAACUGUUGAUCCAAUUCCUAUUGCUGCCUGUGUGGGAGUGCUGUCUGUAAGGAUCUGAAAGAACUGCCAGACCUUCUCUGUAAGAAAACCAAGUGCAAGUGUCAGAAACCUCUUGAAGAUUGAUUCACACCUGGCAGACGUUCAGUCCUGAAGGAACGAUUGCUCUCUCUCACAGGUAAAAUGCAUGAAAAGGCAAAAUCAUUGAAUGCCUCCUGGGCUUACCCUGAGGAGGAAGGCAAGGCUUUUGUUUGUCAGGAAGGUGCCU
This 449-nucleotide long non-coding RNA is filed under the name Parus major (Great Tit). RNAcentral describes it as "lncRNA (ENSPMJG00000005010.1)". The record is from RNAcentral. Lineage: Eukaryota; Metazoa; Chordata; Aves; Passeriformes; Paridae.